AUGACUUCAUCACAGCACUGCCAUGGCUUCUCCCUCUGUCUUCUUAGUCCUAUGCUUAACUCCGUCUCUAGUUCAUUUUUCAUCCCGCUGUUGCCGUUCAAUUUUGCUCAAGAACAUCUCAAAACCUCUGUCUCACUCUUUUCUUCGAUGAUGCUGCUCGAUUACAUUCACGCUUCUCCGAUAAAAUCAUCACAACUUCACCGUGUUCCUCCAUAA
Non-coding RNA from Vicia faba (fava bean), 216 nucleotides. The record is from the annotation of a GenBank genome assembly. Lineage: Eukaryota; Viridiplantae; Streptophyta; Magnoliopsida; Fabales; Fabaceae.